GAGUUGGUAGUUCAGUGGUAGAGUUCUCACUUUUCAUAUGGGAGACCUGGGUUCCAUUCCCAGCCAGUGCA
RNAcentral lists this transfer RNA (71 nucleotides) under Loxodonta africana (African savanna elephant). It matches the Rfam family "tRNA". Rfam says of the family: Transfer RNA (tRNA) molecules are approximately 80 nucleotides in length. The record is from Rfam by way of RNAcentral. Lineage: Eukaryota; Metazoa; Chordata; Mammalia; Proboscidea; Elephantidae.